This 253-nucleotide ribosomal RNA is filed under the name uncultured bacterium. RNAcentral's name for it is "partial 16S ribosomal RNA". It matches the Rfam family "Bacterial small subunit ribosomal RNA", at positions 524 to 776 of the family's 1533-position model. The record is from RNAcentral.
UACAGAGGUCUCAAGCGUUGUUCGGAUUCAUUGGGCGUAAAGGGUGCGUAGGUGGCGCUGUAAGUCGGGUGUGAAAUUUCGGAGCUUAACUCCGAAACUGCAUUCGAUACUGCGGUGCUUGAGGACUGGAGAGGAGACUGGAAUUCAUGGUGUAGCAGUGAAAUGCGUAGAGAUCAUGAGGAAGACCAGUGGCGAAGGCGGGUCUCUGGACAGUUCCUGACACUGAGACACGAAGGCCAGGGGAGCAAACGGG